AAGAAAUCAAUUUGAAAUAUGAAAAAUAUUUUUCUGAAAAAAACAAUUUUCUCGUAAAUCUUUCAUUAAAUUUUAUAAAAUUAUUGUUAUGUCUUUAAAACUGAAUUGGAGUAAUCUUCAAGAAACUCUAUUGGUUGGACACUUUUAAUGGUCAUAGAUUCUAUAAGAAACCUUCAAUACUAGUCAACAAUAAAUUAUCCUCGCCCGUUAAUAUCUUCCAAGGAUAUGGUAAAAAAGGCCAAUCUGAAAUGCUGUUAUACGUUAUAGGAACACCAGCAACAUAUCACCCCAUAGGUAUCAACAACAAUAAUAACCUUUGGAACAUCCUUCACAGAAAAAUCUUUUCCAAUAUCACUUAAGUGAUGUUUCCACAAACAAAACUUCUUGUAUAUGUAUAAUGGCUACAAAACUGAAUUCAAUCAAUCAUAAAGGAACACUUUUUGUUGGACACUCUUAAUGGUCUAAGAUAUUUUAGCCAAAGUUCAGUACCCGUCAGCUUUGAAAUACCCACUAAGGUUCUGGUAAACAUUUUCGACCUAUCUACCAGCUUAAUGGAACACCAGCAACAUGCCAUCCGCUAAAAGUAUCAAAUUCACUCAAGUGAUGUG
Molecule: long non-coding RNA, 608 nt
Organism: Lucilia sericata (common green bottle fly)
Lineage: Eukaryota; Metazoa; Arthropoda; Insecta; Diptera; Calliphoridae
Exons: 3
Source: RefSeq, a predicted model, not a curated record